AGGCAGGGAGGAUCGGGGUGCUAGCCGUACCCCAAACUGGAAAUCGGCUUUAUGCCAGGAUCAGUAACUGUCGGGUAAAUCCGCUGGCAGGGGGCACCUGCUUGUCCUGCUGAAAUGAAAUCAUGCCGUGCUGGAUGGUUAUGAGCGGCGAUCCCUGCGAAGGCUGGGUCUCGACCGCGAAUCGCCGAAAGGGGUGAGGUCCGGGAGGGAGCAACCCUAAGGCGUCGUAACCCUGCUAGCACGUCUACGUGGUGGAUCUUGCAGGGCCUGAGAUGGGACCUUUUGUCAACGGUGGUACCGACAGGCUGCCU
RNAcentral lists this signal recognition particle RNA (311 nucleotides) under Thermoproteota archaeon. RNAcentral's name for it is "signal recognition particle sRNA". It matches the Rfam family "Archaeal signal recognition particle RNA". Lineage: Archaea; Thermoproteati; Thermoproteota. The record is from RNAcentral.